RNAcentral lists this ribosomal RNA (447 nucleotides) under Salmonella enterica subsp. enterica serovar Enteritidis. RNAcentral describes it as "bacterial SSU rRNA". It matches the Rfam family "Bacterial small subunit ribosomal RNA", at positions 265 to 704 of the family's 1533-position model. Lineage: Bacteria; Pseudomonadati; Pseudomonadota; Gammaproteobacteria; Enterobacterales; Enterobacteriaceae. The record is from RNAcentral.
UCACCAAGGCGACGAUCCCUAGCUGGUCUGAGAGGAUGACCAGCCACACUGGAACUGAGACACGGUCCAGACUCCUACGGGAGGCAGCAGUGGGGAAUAUUGCACAAUGGGCGCAAGCCUGAUGCAGCCAUGCCGCGUGUAUGAAGAAGGCCUUCGGGUUGUAAAGUACUUUCAGCGGGGAGGAAGGUGUUGUGGUUAAUAACCGCAGCAAUUGACGUUACCCGCAGAAGAAGCACCGGCUAACUCCGUGCCAGCAGCCGCGGUAAUACGGAGGGUGCAAGCGUUAAUCGGAAUUACUGGGCGUAAAGCGCACGCAGGCGGUCUGUCAAGUCGGAUGUGAAAUCCCCGGGCUCAACCUGGGAACUGCAUUCGAAACUGGCAGGCUUGAGUCUUGUAGAGGGGGGUAGAAUUCCAGGUGUAGCGGUGAAAUGCGUAGAGAUCUGGAGG